This 448-nucleotide long non-coding RNA is filed under the name Nicotiana benthamiana. RNAcentral's name for it is "long non-coding RNA (NBEN_LNC020650)". Lineage: Eukaryota; Viridiplantae; Streptophyta; Magnoliopsida; Solanales; Solanaceae. The record is from RNAcentral.
CGGAAUUGAUUCAAGUUAGAGCUGCAUGAAUGAAAGCUAAGUAUUCUGUGUUCCUGUCGUUGUUGGUAUAUGAUUAUUUGCUUUGUUUCCUUUAAGAUUUUAGUUGUUUUCCACAAGUAUGAUAAGUAGUCUUCUUUGUUUGUUAUACUCAAUGAUUCUUCGGGGUAUUACUGGUUGGACUACAUCUUCUAUAAUGGUCUGAUGUUAUAUUUUGCCUUUUGACUAGUCAGUUUGUUUUCACCACUGAAGAUUUACAUGGCUCGUAGUUUCAUUUCUGAAAUUUACAUGUCUCGUUGAUCUUCAUCUUUUGAUUUUCAUUUUUUGUCACCCUGAGAUCCUGAUUAGUUUUGGUAAAUGUUUAUCUUUUGGAUCCUACUUGCAUUGCGUCAUGAUUCUGAGGAGUUGUUUUUCAUCUUAGAGUGUUCAUUCUUGUUUAUCAUUCUUCUAG